This 425-nucleotide ribosomal RNA is filed under the name uncultured bacterium. Its description in RNAcentral is "bacterial SSU rRNA". It matches the Rfam family "Bacterial small subunit ribosomal RNA", at positions 354 to 796 of the family's 1533-position model. The record is from RNAcentral.
GUGGGGAAUCUUGCGCAAUGGGCGAAAGCCUGACGCAGCAACGCCGCGUGCGGGAUGAAGGCCUUCGGGUUGUAAACCGCUUUCAGCAGGGACGAAAAUGACGGUACCUGCAGAAGAAGCUCCGGCUAACUACGUGCCAGCAGCCGCGGUAAUACGUAGGGAGCAAGCGUUGUCCGGAUUUAUUGGGCGUAAAGAGCUCGUAGGCGGUUUCGUAAGUCGAGUGUGAAAAAUCUGGGCUUAACCCAGUGGAGCACUCGAUACUGCGAUGACUUGAGUCUGGUAGAGGAGUGUGGAAUUCCUGGUGUAGCGGUGAAAUGCGCAGAUAUCAGGAGGAACACCAACGGCGAAGGCAGCACUCUGGGCCAGUACUGACGCUGAGGAGCGAAAGCGUGGGGAGCAAACAGGAUUAGAAACCCCGGUAGUCC